GACGAACGCUGGCGGCGUGCUUAACACAUGCAAGUCGAACGGAAAGGCUCCAGCUUGCUGGAGUACUCGAGUGGCGAACGGGUGAGUAACACGUGGGUAAUCUGCCCUGCACUCUGGGAUAAGCCUUGGAAACUGGGUCUAAUAAUGGAUAUGAACUUUCUCCUUCUGGGGUUUGGUGGAAAGUUUUUCGGUGUAGGAUGAGCCCGCGGCCUAUCAGCUUGUUGGUGGGGUGAUGGCUUACCAAGGCGACGACGGGUACCCGGCCUGAGAGGGUGAUCGGCCACAUUGGGACUGAGAUACGGCCCAGACUCCUACGGGAGGCAGCAGUGGGGAAUAUUGCACAAUGGGCGGAAGCCUGAUGCAGCGACGCCGCGUGAGGGAUGACGGCCUUCGGGUUGUAAACCUCUUUCAGCAGGGACGAAGCGUAAGUGACGGUACCUGCAGAAGAAGCACCGGCUAACUAUGUG
RNAcentral lists this ribosomal RNA (467 nucleotides) under uncultured bacterium. RNAcentral's name for it is "partial 16S ribosomal RNA". It matches the Rfam family "Bacterial small subunit ribosomal RNA", at positions 28 to 507 of the family's 1533-position model. The record is from RNAcentral.